This 949-nucleotide long non-coding RNA is filed under the name Gallus gallus (chicken). RNAcentral describes it as "lncRNA (ENSGALG00010014395.1)". Lineage: Eukaryota; Metazoa; Chordata; Aves; Galliformes; Phasianidae. The record is from RNAcentral.
UGAGACUGUCACGGGAGCUCAGAGAAAGCCCCGGGGAAGGCCGGGCGGGCAUCAGACCGCGGGGAGAGCGGCUCCGGGUGUCAAACGCGAGCCUCGAGCCUCUAUUUUUCUGUUGUUUUGAGUCGGUGGAUCAAUUGUCAUCAGUCCUGUCACCUAAGAAGCAAUGAUUCCGAUUCAUCUUGGCAUCUGAUUUUAUUCUAAUGGGUUAAAUUGGGUUCACUUUUUCAAUUAUCCCAGGUUUGACUGCGUAGUAUUGCAUGACAACUCACAAUUUCAUCGGGUUUGGCAAAGCGAGCGUGCUCCGCGAGUACGUAUAUCAUAUCACAUCAGAUCAGGCUGAAGUUUGCUGUUUAGCGACUCCAUUCGCGAGUCGCUUUUGGUAGAAGUGGGAAGGGUUGCUGCAGUCCGCGGCUGGUUCGGCACGAUUCGGAACAAAAAAAAAACCGCGGCGAGAUGGCAACAAGACGGGGUUCGCCGCUCGGCUAUGAAUGAGCACAGAACGAACCGAGCGACACGAUGGGGAACCGCUCCGCUCGCCGCAAUAUUUUUAGCAGCCUCUCAGCCCUCGCCUUUUUUUAAUUUCCUAAUAUGUUCUUUGCUUUAUUAGUUUUAUUUACAACCGGCUCCCAUUAACACCUCACCUGAUUACUGAGGAGCUGAGACAGCUAAGCAGGAAAACCCAGCAAAGCGGCCAAAGCUGAGAGGGAUCCUCCGCCAGGAACGAGGACCCACCUCCAUCUCCCGGCUGAGCACCGCGCCUCUCCCCACCCAGACCGCAGCCCUCGCCGCUCAUAAAGGAGGGCACAGUUUGGGAAGAAGCUCCUAAGGUCGCAAGUCCAGAAUGGUCGCUCCCCCAGGUGCUUUCGCAGUCAGCACUCGGUGCGGGUGUUUUAAGCUGGACAAACACCAGCCUGGGAAGUCCGAGCCGUUCUGUUUAAUAAAUACGGAG